This is a ribosomal RNA of Eubacterium infirmum F0142, 117 nucleotides long. NCBI's taxonomy places the organism in Bacteria, Bacillati, Bacillota, Clostridia, Peptostreptococcales, Anaerovoracaceae. The record is from Rfam.
UCCGGUGAUAAUAGCGAAGAGGUCACACCUGUUCCCAUCUCGAACACAGUAGUUAAGCUCUUCAGCGCCGACAAUACCUGGUGGGCGACUGCCCGGGAAGAUAGGACAUUGCCGGUU